UUAUCUUCCAUUGUGUGUUCAGUGUCAUGGCCGUAACCAUAUAUUGAAAUUUCUGUUGGAUUAUCCAGAGCCACAUACCCCUGACCAAAGCCUCCUCAUCCUCCUCCUCGUCAACCUCCAUUCCCGGCCUGAGAAUGAGGUCCUCGCACAUGCUUUGUAACUCUGUUACUCCUAAGUUGUUAAUUUCAGAAUCCUGCAUGCUCAAUCCAUCAUAGAAGGAGGGCUCGAUCCAUGGCGCCGCAAGCCAUCGAUCUGUUUCCCCUACUGCCGCCGUGGUGCCUCCCCCUGCUCCAUUGUGUCUCCUUUGCCUCGACGGUGCCACUUCUGCCUCUCCCAUGCCCGACCCCUCCUGUUCCCUUCGACAUCUCUCUUCACUAUCAUCUGUCGACCUUCUCCGACGGUCCGACCUUGCAACUGUAGAUUGUGUAGCUCACCAGUUUAGACCAGGCAUUGGCAUCAACAACGCUGGUAGAGUGGGCACUCGUGUUCAUGGAUGCACGUUGAAACGAACCUAGCCGGGCUUGGCAGCCUUGAUGUCCAAUACUCACUGCUACUGUCAGAGAGGUGCUUGCCUUUCCGCUCAUUGCCAAGCCUCCCGAGUUCUGAAUGCUAAGUAAUCAUAGAAAACAUCGACAUGUAGUUCCCACAAUGAUUAUCUUCAACUCUUUACAUAACUAGUAAUGUUUUAUCUUGCAUUCUUCUACUGACGUUACAUUAAACUACAUUCUUCUACUACUUUUGCAAAUUUUACUACCAUUUAGUAACUGAAGUCUUGAUCUAAUUCUUUUGAUUUUCUGUGUUCCAUACAAAAUUUAGAGCUAGUAGACUCUGACGGCCUAGAGUAAUUUUCUUCCCUAGAGACAUCAACAACACAUGCAUUGCAGGUAAUGAAUAUUGAAGAAUGAAUUUUUCCAGUUUUUGUUUGUAACGAAAGCACUAAUUUCAAACAUUCACACCUCAACUUACUAAUUUUUUUCAUCAUAUAAUAGGGAACUCACAAUCGGGUGUAGAAAAUAGCAUCUUCUUAGAUAUGUACACAUGCAACACAUUGUUCCCCUUUGUAUUCUUGAGAUUUCCUGUCUUAGAAAAGGUAGUUUUCACUUUUUAGAUAGGUUCAUUUACAUUGGCAGUUGUAGUCCACAUAUAUAGCUUUCUAAGUGGAUUCUUGAGUUUUCUUGCCUCUAGAAAGCAUUUCUAUUCCGUUAUAUUUUGCUCUCAGAAAAUCUGGUCCAAGCUGCAGUUUUAUAGAAGGAAGUUGGACGCAGCAUUGGACGAGAUAAGACUUAUGUAAUUUUCUCACUUAUAUUGUAAUCUAAAGUCUAUGUUUUCAUCAAUCUUAAUUUUUACCCAAGACUUAAAUUUUCUUGACAUGUUCUAAGCAUUGUCUGGUUGUCAAUUGACUUAUCAUCUUAUAUUUUGUAAAUGAUAAAAAUAUUAAGGUUGAAAGAACACAUAUUUCAGUUAUUUCACUUUCUAGUGAUAAUUUGUUGGAGCGUUCGUGUGAGAGUAAGCCUAUUUUGUGGGUCUAAAACAAAUAUUUUAUCUAUUGAUUCUGUAAACUUGGCAAAAAUAUUUGGGUUGUCACAUGAUUUUUUUAAUUUUCACAAGCUAACUCCCCCGUUUGGUUUCCCCACGAUUGGUUCCUAGGCACAACCCGAGCUGCCAUCCUCAUGGAUGGCCUGCAUGGGGUAGAUGCUUGCUUGUCUCCAUGGAGGGCCAGGUUGAACGGGAGAGGCGGGUUCCCCGGUCCGCCGCGAGGGAUCAUGCUCCGCUGCCUCACCAAUUAUAGGCAAAUGGGAUUCUACCCCUUGUCCCCAGUCCGCCCACAUUCAUCUUUAGACCUAUGAGCAUAUAACUAACAUAUUAAGUAGAGAAAUUAUACCCUGCAAAAAAAAUAGAGAAAUUAUACUCUUUGCCGUUGCACCGGGUAAAAUGCCUUUAAUUUUGUAGAUUGCGUGAAGGUGUUCGAGAAUUGAGGGCAUGCACGGUCACUUUGAGUGCUUCAUCGAGAUUCUCAAGGUCAUUGUCAUCGCACACAAGGGCACUGACAGGUCCAAGGGCAGCGGAUUUGUGAGGAACCAACCAAAAAUUCUCAAUUCCCCUAAGAGUGAACUACCACUGCCAUAGGGCCUCAUUUUGCAUAGGAGAUAAUAGACAACUAUCAAGGGCUAUAAUUGCGGCCUCUUCCAAAGCCGGAGCUGCCCGUGGAGUCGAUGUCAUGGUCGCCCAAGAGACGAAUCCAUCAUCGAUGCCACAGAGUAGGAGCUUUUGUCGCCGAGGUCAUGUCUGAACCUAAACCUCAACUUUCUAAGGAUGGUAAGAUGUCUAACCUCAGUCUUCUAGCAGCCGGUGGCCGUUGUCCUCUCGUCUCUAUUCAGCUGUUGGUUGUAUGAAAUAGAUAGUUAAAUAUUUAUUUUGGUGGUACCUUAUAGAUGGUAGUGAUGUGGAUACACGAGAGAUUGGGACACCUAUGCAUAUAAAUAAAAUUGAACAUUGAUCUUUCUUA
Molecule: long non-coding RNA, 2506 nt
Organism: Hordeum vulgare subsp. vulgare (domesticated barley)
Lineage: Eukaryota; Viridiplantae; Streptophyta; Magnoliopsida; Poales; Poaceae
Exons: 2
Source: RefSeq, a predicted model, not a curated record